Molecule: ribosomal RNA, 497 nt
Filed under: uncultured bacterium
Lineage: Bacteria
Description: partial 16S ribosomal RNA
Rfam family: Bacterial small subunit ribosomal RNA
Source: RNAcentral
GACGAACGCUGGCGGCGUGCCUAAUACAUGCAAGUUGAGCGAUGAAGAUUGGUGCUUGCACCAAUUUGAAGAGCAGCGAACGGGUGAGUAACGCGUGGGGAAUCUGCCUUUGAGCGGGGGACAACAUUUGGAAACGAAUGCUAAUACCGCAUAACAACUUUAAACAUAAGUUUUAAGUUUGAAAGAUGCAAUUGCAUCACUCAAAGAUGAUCCCGCGUUGUAUUAGCUAGUUGGUGAGGUAAAGGCUCACCAAGGCGAUGAUACAUAGCCGACCUGAGAGGGUGAUAGGCCACAUUGGGACUGAGACACGGCCCAAACUCCUACGGGAGGCAGCAGUAGGGAAUCUUCGGCAAUGGACGAAAGUCUGACCGAGCAACGCCGCGGGAGUGAAGAAGGUUGUCGGAUCGUAAAACUCUGUUGGUAGAGAAGAACGUUGGUGAGAGUGGAAAGCUCAUCAAGUGACGGUAACUACCCAGAAAGGGACGGCUAACUACGUG